This 838-nucleotide ribosomal RNA is filed under the name Diversispora versiformis. Its description in RNAcentral is "eukaryotic LSU rRNA". It matches the Rfam family "Eukaryotic large subunit ribosomal RNA", at positions 1 to 695 of the family's 3401-position model. Lineage: Eukaryota; Fungi; Glomeromycota; Glomeromycetes; Diversisporales; Diversisporaceae. The record is from RNAcentral.
ACCUCAGCUCAAGCAAGAAAACCCGCUGAACUUAAGCAUAUCAAUAAGCGGAGGAAAAGAAACUAACAAGGAUUCCCCUAGUAACGGCGAGUGAAGAGGGAAAAGCCCAAAUUUUAAAUCUACCUGGUUCCCAGGUCGAAUUGUAUUUUGAAGAAUCGAUAUCGGUGUUGAGGUCUGGUUCAAGUUCUUUGGAACAAGACAUCAUGGAGGGUGAGAAUCCCGUGCAUGAUCAGACCAAGAUACUUUAUAUUCGUUUUCUAAGAGUCGAGUUGUUUGGGAAUGCAGCUCAAAUUGGGUGGUAGACUUCACCUAAGGCUAAAUAUCAGCGAGAGACCGAUAGCGAACAAGUACUGUGAAGGAAAGAUGAAAAGCACUUUGAAAAGAGAGUUAAAUAGUACGUGAAAUUGUUGAAAGGGAAACGAUUGAAGUCAGUCAUGCUAGUGAAAAUUCAGUUUGACGGGUUUUGGGUUUAGGAGUAAGAGAUAGGGUCAAACCAUCUCUCUUUUAAACUUGGGAUUUGUCGGAUGCACUUUUUCUUUGGCAGGUCAGCGUCGAUUUCGGGGGUUGUAAAAUACUUGGGGGAAAGUAGCUCUGCUUCGGGAGAGUGUUAUAGACCUUGGGAGAUGCAGCCCGUGGGAUCGAGGAUUGCAGCAAAUGCCUUUGGCUUGUCUUCUGAUCUUUGAUUGUUACCUCGUUUAUGACAACAUUCUUGCCAUCGAUGAGUACUAGUGGUUAUGGGUUAGAAUGAUCAAAAAUUUGCUAAGGAUGCUGACGUAAUGGCUUUAAACGACCCGUCUUGAAACACGGACCAAGGAGUCUAACAUAUGUGCGAGUGUUU